This 68-nucleotide transfer RNA is filed under the name Smithornis sharpei. Its description in RNAcentral is "tRNA-Arg". Lineage: Eukaryota; Metazoa; Chordata; Aves; Passeriformes; Eurylaimidae. The record is from RNAcentral.
AGGAAAUUAGUUUGACCAAGACAGUUGAUUUCGGCUCAACAGACCAUAGUUUAUCCUAUGAUUUCCUC